UAGAGACUCAGAGCUGCAUAUCAAUAAGCGGAGGAAAAGAAACUAACUAAGGAUUCCCCUUAGUAACGGCGAGUGAAGCGGGAAGAGCUCAAAUUUGAAAUCUUCAAGGGUUCUACCUUUACGAAUUGUAGUUUAAAGAAGUGUUUUCUGUUGGAGUUUUGGUAAAAGUUCUUUGGAAUAGGACAUCAUAGAGGGUGAGAAUCCCGUAUUUGGACCAUUUCUUUCCAGCUGUGUGAUACACUUUCAAAGAGUCGGAUUGUUUGGGAAUGCAGUCCAAAAUGGGUGGUAAAUUUCAUCUAAAGCUAAAGUAUUGGCGAGAGACCGAUAGCGAACAAGUACCGUGAGGGAAAGAUGAAAAGAACUUUGAAAAGAGAGUUAAACAGUACGUGAAAUUGUCAAAAGGGAAGCGUUUGACACCAGUGUUGUUUUCUCGAAAAUCAAUUAAAAAUGGCCGGAUUUUGUGUUGUAUUGACUUUAUCAGCUUUCUGCACUUUUUUCUUGUCUUUUUUAAUGCACUUUUCGUUUAACAAGUCAACAUCAAUUUCUUUUGUUGUAAAAGAGUCAUUGGAAGGUGGCUUUCAUUUCGGUGAAAGUGUUUAUAGCCUUUGACUUCUGCAAUCGGAGAGAUUGAGGUCUGCAGCGUAGAUCCUUCGGGGUUAGAUACAUUUGUGCUAAGUUAUAGUUUUUCAUAGACAACAUGUUGACUAUGAUUAAUCAUGUAGCUUACUCGCUUAUGCUAUUUUACCUACGCUUAGGAUGUUG
This 762-nucleotide ribosomal RNA is filed under the name uncultured Neocallimastigales. RNAcentral's name for it is "partial large subunit ribosomal RNA". It matches the Rfam family "Eukaryotic large subunit ribosomal RNA", at positions 23 to 628 of the family's 3401-position model. Lineage: Eukaryota; Fungi; Neocallimastigomycota; Neocallimastigomycetes; Neocallimastigales. The record is from RNAcentral.